GGGCUGCAGGAAGGUGAUGUCCCUGGAAGAGAAUGUGGUCAUAGCCCUGGCCUCCUGCCGAGGCAGAUGUGACCGGCUGGUUUUGUACCAGAUCCCUGGGCUUUCUGAUGCCCUUCCUGUCCUGGACCUGCAGCUGGGCUGCUCCUGGCACACGGCACAGUUUUCCAUCGGGAUUCAGUGAAGCACCAUUGCCUGAGAACAGAAAAACGAUAAACAUCUAAACGCAGACACUCUGAGUACUGUUUUAUCUAUGCCAUUUGAAGUGAUGACACCCUUCAACCAGAUAAACAAAGCAACGAGGAGGGGCAUGUUGUUAGAUGGAGUGUGUAACGAACAGAAUACUCCCUGCCACAUUACAGACAAUGGUAAUGCACAAUCAUUCAUUAUAACUCAAUUACAGUAAUUAAAACUGGUGGGAUGCAGAGGCAGAACAGACGAAGGGAGUAGUGCCAACAGAAUUUACACUCCGUGUCAUCAGCUAGCGAUAACAACAGCUGAUGGUGUCCCAGAGCCUCCUCCUGCCAUCUGUUCGGAGAGCCGCCGCCGAGGGAUGGCACGAGGUGCCGCAGCAGCGCGCGGGGGGGUGCAGGGGGUGGGACGGGGCUCUCGGCCCUGCCCGGCACCGCGUGCGCAACGCACGGCGCCCGACGGCUGCAGGCGCAACGCGUGCUCGCUGCGGGCACCCCGCUGUGUCCCCGGAGCCUCAGAUGUGGUUGUGGGGUGACUGAAGGGGGCACCCCAUAACCUGAGGUGCGGAGGGGGUGGCUGCCCUCCUAGGGAGCCCAGCCUGAGAGUGGCUUCUUGGUGUCCGGGGUGGGCACGGUGCGGCGCGGCACGGCGCGGUUUGGCACAGUUCAUCGCAGCACGGGGUGGCACAGCGCAGCACGGCUUCCCUACACCAACACCGAUGCCCAGUGCUGCCCUGUAGGGACCAGAGACACAGCAUGGGAAAAGGCACAUGGCCAAAAGUCUCCUUGGGGACAGCGUUCCCAUGGGGUGGCACAAGAGCCACGACCAGCGAGGUUUCAGCCCGCUCCAGCAGCCCGGAGCUGGGGGGAGGGAGGGGGUGCGUCUGGGCGGCAGCGUGGGCAGCCACCCACCCCAGUUAUUUUCUUUAUUAUAUUUUUCGAGGCAAGCUAACAACCUCUGCCCCAGCGCCAGGACCUGAGCACUGUAAUUUGCUAAUUAUCGGUUACUCAAAGUGUAAUUUCACCUGAUGGCCGCCCCGGAAAACCAGGCUGGGGAGGAGGAGCGGUGCGGGCGCGACGCGUGGGCUACCUCCAGAGGGUAGCGGCUCGGUUCAGCAGCUGCCGGGACCAAACACCCCAUGUGCCUCCUGCGUGGGAGCCCAUCCUUGCAUGAGAGUGCUGCUACGGUGCUCACAGAAGGCAGACGUUGACAAAAAAGCAGGUAACACAACCCAUUGGGUGCUGCGUGCUGGGGACGGAUGCAGCGCACCCGCAGCACGGCGUGGGCAGCUCCGGGUGCCCCACUGCGAUGCCCAUGGGAUCCAGGAGCCUGACACCCGAGGUUUGCACAAGGGUCACAGCAGCCUCGGCCACUGAAAGCAUUA
Long non-coding RNA from Cygnus olor (mute swan), 1573 nucleotides. RefSeq lists it as uncharacterized. NCBI's taxonomy places the organism in Eukaryota, Metazoa, Chordata, Aves, Anseriformes, Anatidae. The record is from RefSeq and is a predicted model, not a curated record. The transcript has 3 exons.